UACGUAGGUGGCAAGCGUUGUCCGGAUUUACUGGGCGUAAAGAGCGCGCAGGCGGUCGUUCAAGUCGCGUGUGAAAGCCCCCGGCUCAACUGGGGAGGGUCACGCGAUACUGAUCGACUCGAAGGCAGGAGAGGGAAGUGGAAUUCCCGGUGUAGUGGUGAAAUGCGUAGAUACUGGGAGGAACACCGGUGGCGAAGGCGGCUACCUGGACGGGUACUGACGCUGAGGCGCGAAAGCUAGGGGAGCAAACAGG
RNAcentral lists this ribosomal RNA (253 nucleotides) under uncultured bacterium. RNAcentral describes it as "partial 16S ribosomal RNA". It matches the Rfam family "Bacterial small subunit ribosomal RNA", at positions 524 to 776 of the family's 1533-position model. The record is from RNAcentral.